RNAcentral lists this ribosomal RNA (425 nucleotides) under uncultured bacterium. Its description in RNAcentral is "partial 16S ribosomal RNA". It matches the Rfam family "Bacterial small subunit ribosomal RNA", at positions 354 to 796 of the family's 1533-position model. The record is from RNAcentral.
GUGGGGAAUCUUAGACAAUGGGCGCAAGCCUGAUCUAGCCAUGCCGCGUGAGCGAUGAAGGUCUUAGGAUUGUAAAAUUCUUUCACCGGGGACGAUAAUGACGGUACCCGGAGAAGAAGCUCCGGCUAACUUCGUGCCAGCAGCCGCGGUAAUACGAAGGGGGCUAGCGUUGCUCGGAAUUACUGGGCGUAAAGGGCGCGUAGGCGGACAGCUUAGUCAGAGGUGAAAGCCCAGGGCUCAACCUUGGAAUUGCCUUUGAUACUGGCUGUCUUGAGUACGAGAGAGGUGAGUGGAACUACGAGUGUAGAGGUGAAAUUCGUAGAUAUUCGGAAGAACACCAGUGGCGAAGGCGACUCACUGGCCCGUUACUGACGCUGAGGCGCGAAAGCGUGGGGAGCAAACAGGAUUAGAUACCCCAGUAGUCC